Molecule: ribosomal RNA, 527 nt
Filed under: uncultured bacterium
Lineage: Bacteria
Description: bacterial SSU rRNA
Rfam family: Bacterial small subunit ribosomal RNA
Source: RNAcentral
AGAGUUUGAUCAUGGCUCAGAUUGAACGCUGGCGGCAGGCCUAACACAUGCAAGUCGAGCGGUAGCACAGGGAGCUUGCUCCUGGGUGACGAGCGGCGGACGGGUGAGUAAUGUCUGGGAAACUGCCCGAUGGAGGGGGAUAACUACUGGAAACGGUAGCUAAUACCGCAUAACGUCUUCGGACCAAAGUGGGGGACCUUCGGGCCUCACACCAUCGGAUGUGCCCAGAUGGGAUUAGCUAGUAGGUGAGGUAAUGGCUCACCUAGGCGACGAUCCCUAGCUGGUCUGAGAGGAUGACCAGCCACACUGGAACUGAGACACGGUCCAGACUCCUACGGGAGGCAGCAGUGGGGAAUAUUGCACAAUGGGCGCAAGCCUGAUGCAGCCAUGCCGCGUGUGUGAAGAAGGCCUUCGGGUUGUAAAGCACUUUCAGCGAGGAGGAAGGGUUCGGUGUUAAUAGCACCGUUCAUUGACGUUACUCGCAGAAGAAGCACCGGCUAACUCCGUGCCAGCAGCCGCGGUAAUAC